UUUUCUUCUAUAUAAUCUACAGCAUCUUCCGGUAAGGGUGCUCCAGUAAAAUGGCCCUACUGGUAAGAAAGCUGUUUCUGGUUGUUCUAAUCAGCACGCUCACUGUUUUGGCGAAGAGCGAACCCAGGGAAUCCGCGUUGGAAGAUACCUUGCAAUGUUUCAAGGAACUAAGUGGAGUGUUGAACGAAUCGUUCCUCAAAUGUUGUUCCACGCGCGGGAUGACUGAAACUGUGGCCGCCGUGAUGGUGCAGUUACACGAGCACUUAACAAAUGCCCAACAACUCCUGUUCGGUCCGGCGCAUCACGGUUCCGUUUCGAACGGGUCAUCGGAGUCACACGAAACGCAUCAAGAAAUGGCAAACCGUGUCAUUAUGACUGUGAUCUCUGCCGUUGAAUAUGUAUUGCGCGAAUUGAACCAGACCAUCACAGCAUAAAGCAUCGACAUCGACUGCGGGAAAACUACGGGGAAAGUAAAUAAGGAACCAUUUCCGGGAGUCUCACAUCCAGUAGCAAAGCAAUCUACAUCAUCGACCGGGUACGGCGACCUACGAGCUUCGGUCUGGAUGGCGCAUCUUACUUGAUAUGAUUGAACAUUGUACCGAACACGCUUCGCUUAUCAGGUCUUCGAUUCGGUGCUCUAACGUCACGGAGUAUCUCAAGAUAGUGGCCGGGCAAUUGUAUCUUAUAAUUAUUAUUUCCAUUGUAUCUCUCCGGCAACCGGCAGCUACCGAAACAUCAACGUAAUUUCGCUUACCUACCCCAAAAUUACCACGCGACAACCUAAUGAUACGCGAUAUCGCUUAUCACUUAGACACCAUCGACGAUCCAUCAUCACUUGCAGAUGCAUCGAUUGUUGCAAAUAUGAUUGCAGAAUAUAAUAGAACCGAGGCUGUGACACUAAUUUGGCAGCUUUAUGUAAUGCAGGGCAUGGCAUGUAAUACAGGACAUCUCUCCCUUCAAUAAACGUGAUUGUGCAAUGAC
Molecule: RNA transcript, 981 nt
Organism: Anopheles cruzii
Lineage: Eukaryota; Metazoa; Arthropoda; Insecta; Diptera; Culicidae
Exons: 3
Source: RefSeq, a predicted model, not a curated record